ACGCUCGACACCUACGAGGCAGCAGUGGGGAAUAUUGCACAAUGGGGGAAACCCUGAUGCAGCAACGCCGCGUGAAGGAAGACGGUUUUCGGAUUGUAAACUUCUGUUCUUAGUGAAGAUAGUGACGGUAGCUAAGGAGCAAGCCACGGCUAACUACGUCNCACAGCCGCGUAAUCUGAGCGGGCUGGCAAGGC
RNAcentral lists this ribosomal RNA (194 nucleotides) under uncultured bacterium. RNAcentral describes it as "partial 16S ribosomal RNA". It matches the Rfam family "Bacterial small subunit ribosomal RNA", at positions 326 to 539 of the family's 1533-position model. The record is from RNAcentral.